RNAcentral lists this ribosomal RNA (653 nucleotides) under uncultured bacterium. Its description in RNAcentral is "bacterial SSU rRNA". It matches the Rfam family "Bacterial small subunit ribosomal RNA", at positions 841 to 1503 of the family's 1533-position model. The record is from RNAcentral.
GGGUGGUACAGCGAAAGCGUUAAGUAUUCCACCUGGGGAGUACGCCGGCAACGGUGAAACUCAAAGGAAUUGACGGGGGCCCGCACAAGCGGAGGAACAUGUGGUUUAAUUCGAUGAUACGCGAGGAACCUUACCCGGGCUCAAACGACGGAUGGAUGUUUCUGAAAGGAGGCAGUCCUACGGGACAUCCGUCGAGGUGCUGCAUGGUUGUCGUCAGCUCGUGCCGUGAGGUGUCGGCUUAAGUGCCAUAACGAGCGCAACCCCCAUCGCCAGUUACCAGCAAGUAAAGUUGGGGACUCUGGCGAGACUGCCGGCGCAAGUUGUGAGGAAGGCGGGGAUGACGUCAAAUCAGCACGGCCCUUACGUCCGGGGCGACACACGUGUUACAAUGGCAGGUACAGAGAGAAGCGAUGCGGCGACGCAGAGCGGAACUUCAAAGCCUGUCUCAGUUCGGAUUGGAGUCUGCAACCCGACUCCAUGAAGCUGGAUUCGCUAGUAAUCGCGCAUCAGCCACGGCGCGGUGAAUACGUUCCCGGGCCUUGUACACACCGCCCGUCAAGCCAUGGAAGCCGGGAGUGCCUGAAGUGUGCAACCGCAAGGAGCGCCCUAAGGUAAAACCGGUGACUGGGGCUAAGUCGUAACAAGGUAGCCGU